GGAGAACUUACAAUCUUACAUCAUAUCAUCAUAAAUGAAUUAUUUUGUGGAUCUUGGAAGUAUUUUUUUAUUUUUAUUUUUAAUAUGCAUCUGAUGUAGAUGAACAAGUGAACAACUCAGUGAGCCUUAGGAUUCAGACCUGAUUGUGUAUUAAUUGACUCAAAAUUCAUGGGUAUUUGAUAAGUGCAGAUUGUUUGGUCUUAACAUAAUGUGAAUAAAACAAUCUGGUUCAUUUCUGAAAUUAGAUUUGGUUUUGCAUAGUCC
This 264-nucleotide unclassified non-coding RNA is filed under the name Hevea brasiliensis (rubber tree). The record is from RNAcentral. Lineage: Eukaryota; Viridiplantae; Streptophyta; Magnoliopsida; Malpighiales; Euphorbiaceae.